This is a long non-coding RNA of Felis catus (domestic cat), 722 nucleotides long. RefSeq lists it as uncharacterized. The transcript has 2 exons. Lineage: Eukaryota; Metazoa; Chordata; Mammalia; Carnivora; Felidae. The record is from RefSeq and is a predicted model, not a curated record.
CUACGCUCAGGCAGCCAACACAUCAGCACCACGCAUCAGGGCUGCUCCUUCCAAUUUAACAACAUGGGUCUGGGAAAAGAAAUCACCUGGUGAACCAAGAAUAGGAAAGAGUAGGGUGGAAAAAAAAAGCCUUGACAGAGAGUCUGGAUUUGUCCGGGGAUAUUUUCCCAGCUCGGGCUUCCUGAUGACUCAGCUGCUCCUACGUGGGGAAGCUCUCCCUCAGCCAGCACUGCCUGGGAGAUGAAGCCAGUGAUUUCCCACUAGCUAUCAGCCAGGACAAAAAUUACCAAUAAAAGGAUACACUUAAAUGUCCCCCCAGUAGAGACUAUUGUUUACUGGGCUAUUGAGGGAGUGAAAAUAUCAGAGCAAAGUCCAGAGAGAAGACAGACAAGAGAAUAGAGUCAAUGGACGAAAAGAAAAGAAAACAGGGAGACCAACUUGGCCAAAGAUGCAGAGAGGAAGACAAACAGAACCAGCAGGAAAAGAAAAGCCCCACGUCACAAGGACCUCCACAUUCAGAUCAAUGCAGGCAUGUGUGUGAUAGACCCAAAAACCAAAUAGAAACCCUCAAAUCGCCUAACUCCCAGAACAGGCAAAUUUUUGCCAAGUUCAUGAUUUGGCAGAGUUCUUGCAUAUUCCAUACAAUUUCAAUGAGAAGCUGUAUCCAUCUUGUUCUAAGAGCAGAUUGUCAUUUUCCACUUGAAAUACACACGUUGCACUGA